CCAACCCUGAAUUCAUCCCCUCAGCAUCCCCACUUCCUGCGCCCCUGGGUGCCACUGUGUUGGCCCUAUUGUUGUGUUUGAUCCCCCAUGAUGCCACAGCCAUCUCUGGCGGGGAGUCAGGGAAGCCUAAUCGACCUUGCCCUAUCGGAAUAGCAGCAUGUAGAAGGAAGCACACGCUUGCUUUUGCCCUCCCAGUUUGGUAACAUCGUAUGAAGCAGGGACCUUGCAGGAGGAUCUGCCCACGACCAUAUUGCUGGUGUGCCUCUGGAUCCAUAAAUGAGACUAAAGCGAUGGGAGAAAGGAAAAUACAAGGGGCUGAGGGCCAUCUACAACGUUGUCUCCAGAGGAAAUAAGCACAAGCUAGUCUGAAGUGGUGAAACGCUACAACUCCAACGCUCCUCUACAGGAAACCCCUCCGUAAGUGCAUAUGCUGUGGCCGGAAUGGAAUGAUCACUGGUUGGAGUGAAAUCUCCAGCUAACGUGAAAAAAAGAUCAACAAUUUUUUGGAUUCGACUCUGGACAUCUUUUGCACCUUGUCUACAAAACAGAAACAGCUGACUAUCCUGCCAGAAUACUGUGAGGCUCAGUCCAGCCUAGUAGAAACUAAAAGUGACAUCCCAAGCU
Molecule: long non-coding RNA, 624 nt
Organism: Pygocentrus nattereri (red-bellied piranha)
Lineage: Eukaryota; Metazoa; Chordata; Actinopteri; Characiformes; Serrasalmidae
Source: Ensembl